RNAcentral lists this long non-coding RNA (3133 nucleotides) under Durio zibethinus. RNAcentral's name for it is "long non-coding RNA (DZIB_LNC001353)". The record is from RNAcentral. Lineage: Eukaryota; Viridiplantae; Streptophyta; Magnoliopsida; Malvales; Malvaceae.
GUCAAUUAAGAAAACUGAAAUUUCCAUUUAGGACUUGAAUUUUGUUACAUAUAUCAUCAAAGUCCAUCCACAUUCCACACAGACAAAAGAAAAAGGAUGUGUGGAGAAUGAUAUUGUAUAUGACUCUUCUCCUUUCUCUCCACCACCAUCUUUUCAUUAUGCCUCUAGUCUCUUCCCUGUUCUCCUUUUUUUUAAGAAAAAAAAAAUUAUUUGAUUGAUUCAUUUUGCUCCUCUAACUUAAUCUCUUUCACACUCUGAUAUCUAUGCAUCUAUAUUACUUCAUUUUGAGUUUGAAUCAAUUAGAUUAUAUUGUUAAAGUCGAAUCAUCCUAGAUUUGUUAAGUAUUUAGAUUUUAUAUUUAAGUUAAAUUUAUUUAUCAAUUGUCAAUUAAUUUUAAAUUGGAUGCUUAAGAUAAUAUUAAAAUCUUAAUUCUAUUAUAUUAUUCUUGCAUGUUACUUGUAUCUAUUAUUCCUUUGAAGUUUGUCAUGUGGUAAACUUUUGUCUCUACUUAUACAUGAUUGGAAAUGUUAAACUAGUAUUAUCUUACAUCUGCUAGAUAUUGAGUUUUUUGUGAUCUUGAAUUUAAGUUGGAUUUCUCUAUCUUUUACCAAUAAUUUUUGGUUCGAUACUUAAUAUAUAAAAUAUAUAUUUUCUUAAUGAAGUGCAUUAAUAUUUAUUAUACUAAAUUUUAUAAUGAACAUCUACUUUAAAUCAAUCAGUAAUAGAUGAAGUUACUUUUGAUAUGUUUAUGUGUUCAUGUUCCUUUAAUUUAAGAGAUUUGAAAUUUAUCUCCAUUUUAAUACUUCCUUUUCAUUAUAAGUGUGUUAUAUUUACUAUAUGAAAUUAAUAUCUUAUGAUAGGUCCAUUAUUUCCGUUUCAAUACUUUCCUUUCAUAAUAAUUGUGUUAUAUUUACCAUAUGAAAUUAAAAUCUCACAGUGAGUCUGUCAUUGUUGUCCUACAUAUGUAAGGGGUAUUGAAGUGGUCAUAUGAAUUAGUUUGGGGUUGUCCCUAACACAAAUAUAACAGGAACCAUUAAAUUUAUAUUCAUUGAUUUUAUGAUCAUUUUAAAAUUUAAUGCUUUUUUUUUAUCCUCUUAGCGUCACUAUAUAAGAAUUCCAAUAUAUACCAUUUACACAAAUUUUAUCGAUGUAUGAUAGCCAAUCAAUAUUGUUUGGGAAAUUUGAAAUCUUAUUAGGCUAGGAGCUAUGUAAAAGGAUUUGAAAGUCUUCUCACAUUUAAACAAUCUAAUGUCACUCGAUCUCUUCAGUAGAAUUAAAUAAAUAAUGAAGUAAAUGAUUAUUGCAAGCUACAAAGUGUUAUGAAUUAAAAGGAGAAGGGAAUUGAAAUUACUCAAUAUAUAAAUAAAUUAUAGCAGUUUUGUCAAUUUAAAGUUACCUACAUCCACUACCUUAACUACCUAUUCCAGGAUUUUUUUUUCAACCAUUCACAGUUUCAUCAAACGAUCUUGGCAAUGAUCAAAUUAUACAUAAAUCAUAAUUACAGGCAAAUAUAUGAAGUUAAUGAGGUAGGAUAGAGCUAUGACUAUAAUGUGAAAUUUGAAAUGAUGUAUUCGAAAGUUAGAUCUAUCAAAUUUAGCACAAAAACUGAAAAUAAUAUAAAAUUUUGACAAAAUUAUAUUUAUUUGAUAAAAAUAAAAAAAAUGUAUUUCAUAUUUGCUGUAUUGACAUGAAUUACUGUCAUAACAAUUUUAGAGACCGCUAGAUGAAAAUUUUAAAAUGUUUCUAAACAAGAGGAAAUAGCUACCAAUCUUUUUUUCAAGUGUGAUUGACCGCCUAAAAAGCUUAUCUUUUUAAUAAAAUAAUAAAACAAGUUUAGAGAUUAUCAAAAGGAUAUUUUGGGUCUACAAAAUUAGGGUUAAGUUCAAGAGUUGAUUACACAUAAAGAAUGAUUAGCACCUUUAUAACCCUUAUAAAAAUUGAUACCAAUUGAUCAUAUGUUAUCCUAACUAUUAAAAAAAAUAUCUUAAUUUUAAUAUUUAAAAAAUGAUUCCUUCUUUUUUUUCAUCUUUUAAACUUUUUAUUUAGAGAUAAGAUGAAAAUCUUUAGUAUUGAAACGUUUUCUAAUUCUCCAAUAUCUAGAUAGAACUUCAAAAAAUGCUUCUUUACUUAGGACUUUCAUACUAAUCCUUAAAAAUCCAACCUAAUAUUGCCUUAUAAAAAAAUAAGUAUUGAGAAACCCUCCAAUAUCUAGACAAGGUCCCAAAAAAUUAUUUUUUACUUACAAAUAUUAGUUUUUAUUUAAUUUAAAAAUAAUUCUCCAAAAAUCACCAUUUACUUAUUUUUUGAAAACAAUGGAAUGUGAGCAAAUAUCAUAUGAAGCAAGAUGUACGAUACAACUUAAAUGUAGGCAAUCAAUGAAAUUCAUCUAAUAUACAUUUAAAUUUAAUUCGUUUUAUUUAGAAAUACAAUGAGAAUCCUUAGUUUCAAAAAAUUUCCUAAUUCCCCAAUAUCAAUGUGGAAUUUUGGAAAGUUUUUCUCUACUUAGAAUUAGUAUGAUAUUCCUUAAAAUUUUGCAUAAUAUUCCUCCGUAAAAAGUAAUUAUUGAAAAGUCUUCCACUAUUUAAACAGUCUCUAAACAAUUAUUUUCAUGUAGGCAUAUUAACCUUUUUUCAAAUUUCAAUUACUAAUUCACAUUUUUUAUUUCAAGUCAUAAUGUAACAAGAAAUAAGUAAAUAAUGCAAAUACAACAAUUAACCAAUUUGAUCUAUCUUAUAUGUAUUUAACCCUACUUCUUAUUGUGAUCUUUUUUUAAAGGAAAAUCAAGGGUGAAAUUUUUAUUUUUCAUUUAUUUUUUUGUGACGAAGAAUGUUCUUUAAUUCCCUAAUAUCUAGGUGAAAUUUUUGAAAAUUGAUCCUUUGAAAUAAGAUUUGGUUUCCUUCCAAUAUCUAGACAAAGUUUUCAAAAUCAUUUUUCUCUUAAAGAUAUCAAUUUAUUUUUGUUUCCAGAAAUCUCUUUUUAAAAAAAAAUCAUUUUUGAAUCAUAAAAUUAUUAUCUUCCAUUUUUUACUCAAGUUACAAUUUUAUUUUAUCAAUCACCCACAAACAAAUUAGUUUAAAAAAUAUAUCUACAUACAUUUUAUUUAUCAUUACAAUUAUUGUUUCCCAAAAUUUUU